CCUACGGGAGGCUGCAGUGAGGAAUAUUGGUCAAUGGGCGUAAGCCUGAACCAGCCAAGCCGCGUGAGGGAAGACUGCCCUAUGGGUUGUAAACCUCUUUUGUCAGGGAGCAAAUGGCGGUACGUGUAGCGUUAUCGAGAGUACCUGAAGAAAAAGCAUCGGCUAACUCGGUACAGGCAGCCGCGGUAAUACGGGGGAUGCGAGCGUAAUCCGGAUUAAUUGGGUUUAAAGGGUGCGUAGGUGGAAUGCCAAGUCAGCGGGAAAAGCGCGGGGCUAAACCUCGCCCCGCCGUUGAAACUGGCGGUCUUGAGUGGGCGAGAGGUAUGCGGAAUGCGUGGUGUAGCGGUGAAAUGCGUAGAUAUCACGCAGAACUCCGAUUGCGAAGGCAGCAUACCGGCGGCCAACUGACGCUGAGGCACGAAAGCGUGGGUAUCGAACAGGAUUAGAUACCCGGGUAGUC
Molecule: ribosomal RNA, 460 nt
Filed under: uncultured bacterium
Lineage: Bacteria
Description: partial 16S ribosomal RNA
Rfam family: Bacterial small subunit ribosomal RNA
Source: RNAcentral